This 670-nucleotide ribosomal RNA is filed under the name uncultured Lachnospiraceae bacterium. RNAcentral's name for it is "bacterial SSU rRNA". It matches the Rfam family "Bacterial small subunit ribosomal RNA", at positions 59 to 738 of the family's 1533-position model. The record is from RNAcentral. Lineage: Bacteria; Bacillati; Bacillota; Clostridia; Lachnospirales; Lachnospiraceae.
ACGAAGCGCUUAAUGGAUUCUUCGGAUUGAAGUUUUUGUGACUGAGUGGCGGACGGGUGAGUAACGCGUGGGUAACCUGCCUCAUACAGGGGGAUAACAGUUAGAAAUGACUGCUAAUACCGCAUAAGCGCACAGUGCUGCAUGGCACAGUGUGAAAAACUCCGGUGGUAUGAGAUGGACCCGCGUCUGAUUAGCUAGUUGGUGGGGUAACGGCCUACCAAGGCGACGAUCAGUAGCCGGCCUGAGAGGGUGAACGGCCACAUUGGGACUGAGACACGGCCCAAACUCCUACGGGAGGCAGCAGUGGGGAAUAUUGCACAAUGGGGGAAACCCUGAUGCAGCGACGCCGCGUGAGCGAAGAAGUAUUUCGGUAUGUAAAGCUCUAUCAGCAGGGAAGAAAAUGACGGUACCUGACUAAGAAGCACCGGCUAAAUACGUGCCAGCAGCCGCGGUAAUACGUAUGGUGCAAGCGUUAUCCGGAUUUACUGGGUGUAAAGGGAGCGUAGACGGUUGUGUAAGUCUGAUGUGAAAGCCCGGGGCUCAACCCCGGGACUGCAUUGGAAACUAUGUAACUAGAGUGUCGGAGAGGUAAGCGGAAUUCCUAGUGUAGCGGUGAAAUGCGUAGAUAUUAGGAGGAACACCAGUGGCGAAGGCGGCUUACUGGACGAUC